AGAACGAUCUACCUGAUAAUGCCCUGUCUCAUGGACUAAGACCACAUCUUCUAAAACACGCAUUCCCUGAACUGCUUAAUUGUUUAACUUUUCACAGGUCUGGUGACAAGGAGCACUUUCCAUUCUUUCUUACUGAGAGUGCCAACUAGUGACUCUUACCAAAAAAUCAUCAUCGUCAUCAUCAUCCCUGUUGUCAGGCAUCCCCUGUCCUUAGCAGAAGCUUCCCGCCCUCCAAUGGUGAUGCCAAAGACGAGGAUUACAGAAGCUCUCUACCCAAAAAGUCAUGGAACCAAAUUAAAAAGGAAAUGAAAAAGGAAUCCAUUCAUCUCCGGAGUACCGAGGAAGAGGCAGAAACGACUUUUACAAUCCCCUGGAUCCUUCUGUCUGCUCCCAUUCAGCCAAGGAUUACAGAGAUUUCUCCGCAAACAAUCAGGUUGUCCUAACACAGUCGACAAAGGAGGCUGGAACACCCUGACCGUGGGGCUACCCAUCUUUAAUGGAGGGCAAGCCCCCAGCAGCUAUAAGUCACUAUCUUCUGGGUAAUCCAUCAUCUCCGGGCCAGCUGAGCUACAGAGAGGCCUCUUCGAGUACGUAGAACACACAUGUGCCCGUGAUAUGGAUUUGCAGAAAGAGGAUGGACUGUGGCAUCAGGACCUCA
Molecule: long non-coding RNA, 658 nt
Organism: Tupaia belangeri chinensis (Chinese tree shrew)
Lineage: Eukaryota; Metazoa; Chordata; Mammalia; Scandentia; Tupaiidae
Exons: 5
Source: RefSeq, a predicted model, not a curated record